GUGUUGGGUCAGUAACCAGCAGGUAUCCUAGUGGUUAGAGUGUUGGGUCAGUAACCAGCAGGUAUCCUAGUGGUAAGAGUGUUGGGUCAGUAACCAGCAGGUAUCCUAGUGGUUAGAGUGUUGGGUCAGUAACUGAAAGGUUGCUGGAUUGAAUCCCCGAGCUGACAAGGUAAAAAUCUGUCAUUCCUCCCCUGAACACGGCAGUUAACCUGCUGUUCCUAGCUAGUUGAUGGAAAUAAGAAUUUGUUGUUAACUGAAUUGCCUAGUUAAAUAAAAGUUAAAUAAAAGGAACCACAUCCCACUAAUAAAUAUAAAUAACUUUUUGUAUUUUUAAAAAACUCUUUUAUAUUUUUAAUGAAUUUGAAUUGACUUUACCUAAAAUUUGCUUCCCUAAAACUUCAGAUAUUGGUUCAUAGACCUCUUCCCUCCAAUCCACGGUAAUUACGUUUGGACUUUUGGACAUUACAAAUGAAGUCAAAUUGAAAACAGUAUUGAUGUUGUUGAAUUAGGUUUUCAUAAUAGCAAGCUAGGACUGAUGGUUUGGUUAUCUAAACUAGCAAGUAUGUUGGUUUGUUACCAAGGCAACUACUGUUGCUAUCUAGUAAACUUGCUAGCUACUUCAAUGGAUGUUGAACACAUUUCUACCGGCAAAUGUGUUAAAUUAUAGCCAUGGUAUAAAAGGGAUAAUCAACUCAGGGCUUUAUGGUUCUCUGGAAAAUAAUGCAAGUCCAUGGAAGGUCAGUUCCACAGUGUUCAUUAUUUACCAUAGAACUCAUAGUCCCUCGUUGAUUAUCCCUUACAUCACUUUAUGAGCUGGAUUUGCCUUUCUUUGCAACAGUGGAAGCUGCUGAGGAGACGACG
Molecule: long non-coding RNA, 861 nt
Organism: Oncorhynchus tshawytscha (Chinook salmon)
Lineage: Eukaryota; Metazoa; Chordata; Actinopteri; Salmoniformes; Salmonidae
Source: Ensembl